GCCAAAAUGAUGGAAUUGGUAGACAUGCUAGGUUUAGGUUCUAGUUCUUCGGAGUAGGGGUUCAAGUCCCCUUUUUGGUA
RNAcentral lists this transfer RNA (80 nucleotides) under Gomphonema parvulum. Its description in RNAcentral is "tRNA-Leu". It matches the Rfam family "tRNA". Rfam says of the family: Transfer RNA (tRNA) molecules are approximately 80 nucleotides in length. The record is from RNAcentral. Lineage: Eukaryota; Bacillariophyta; Bacillariophyceae; Cymbellales; Gomphonemataceae.